UACGGAGGGGGCUAGCGUUGUUCGGAAUUACUGGGCGUAAAGCGCACGUAGGCGGCUUUGUAAGUUAGAGGUGAAAGCCCGGGGCUCAACUCCGGAACUGCCUUUAAGACUGCAUCGCUUGAAUUGUGGAGAGGUAAGUGGAAUUCCGAGUGUAGAGGUGAAAUUCGUAGAUAUUCGGAAGAACACCAGUGGCGAAGGCGACUUACUGGACACAUAUUGACGCUGAGGUGCGAAAGCGUGGGGAGCAAACAGG
This 253-nucleotide ribosomal RNA is filed under the name uncultured bacterium. RNAcentral describes it as "partial 16S ribosomal RNA". It matches the Rfam family "Bacterial small subunit ribosomal RNA", at positions 524 to 776 of the family's 1533-position model. The record is from RNAcentral.